UACGAACCGAGCGAACGUUGUUCGGAAUCACUGGGCUUAAAGGGUGCGUAGGCGGGCUGCCAAGUUUGGGGUGAAAUCCUCCGGCUCAACCGGGGAAGUGCCUUGAAUACUGGCGGUCUCGAGGGAGGUAGGGGCGUGCGGAACUAACGGUGGAGCGGUGAAAUGCGUUGAUAUCGUUAGGAACUCCGGUGGCGAAGGCGGCACGCUGGACCUCUUCUGACGCUGAGGCACGAAAGCCAGGGGAGCGAACGGG
This 253-nucleotide ribosomal RNA is filed under the name uncultured bacterium. RNAcentral describes it as "partial 16S ribosomal RNA". It matches the Rfam family "Bacterial small subunit ribosomal RNA", at positions 524 to 776 of the family's 1533-position model. The record is from RNAcentral.